CAUGCAAGUCGAACGGUGAACUUGGAGCUUGCUCCAGGGGAUCAGUGGCGAACGGGUGAGUAACACGUGAGUAACCUGCCCCAGACUCUGGAAUAAGCGCUGGAAACGGCGUCUAAUACCGGAUACGAGACAGAGAGGCAUCUCUACUGUCUGGAAAGUUUUUCGGUCUGGGAUGGACUCGCGGCCUAUCAGCUUGUUGGUGAGGUAACGGCUCACCAAGGCGACGACGGGUAGCCGGCCUGAGAGGGCGACCGGCCACACUGGGACUGAGACACGGCCCAGACUCCUACGGGAGGCAGCAGUGGGGAAUAUUGCACAAUGGGCGAAAGCCUGAUGCAGCGACGCCGCGUGAGGGAUGACGGCCUUCGGGUUGUAAACCUCUUUCAGCAGGGAAGAAGCGAAAGUGACGGUACCUGCAGAAGAAGCACCGGCUAACUACGUGCCAGCAGCCGCGGUAAUACGUAGGGUGCGAGCGUUGUCCGGAAUUAUUGGGCGUAAAGAGCUUGUAGGCGGUUUGUCGCGUCUGCUGUGAAAAUCCGGGGCUCAACCCCGGACUUGCAGUGGGUACGGGCAGACUAGAGUAUGGUAGGGGAGACUGGAAUUCCUGGUGUAGCGGUGAAAUGCGCAGAUAUCAGGAGGAACACCGAUGGCGAAGGCAGGUCUCUGGGCCAUUACUGACGCUGAGAAGCGAAAGCAUGGGGAGCGAACAGGAUUAGAUACCCUGGUAGUCCAUGCCGUAAACGUUGGGCGCUAGGUGUGGGACUCAUUCCACGAGUUCCGUGCCGCAGCUAACGCAUUAAGCGCCCCGCCUGGGGAGUACGGCCGCAAGGCUAAAACUCAAAGGAAUUGACGGGGGCCCGCACAAGCGGCGGAGCAUGCGGAUUAAUUCGAUGCAACGCGAAGAACCUUACCAAGGCUUGACAUAUACCGGAAACACCUAGAGAUAGGUGCCCCUUUUGGUCGGUAUACAGGUGGUGCAUGGUUGUCGUCAGCUCGUGUCGUGAGAUGUUGGGUUAAGUCCCGCAACGAGCGCAACCCUCGUUCUAUGUUGCCAGCACGUAAUGGUGGGGACUCAU
RNAcentral lists this ribosomal RNA (1076 nucleotides) under Janibacter sp. 453B4_12ECASO. RNAcentral's name for it is "bacterial SSU rRNA". It matches the Rfam family "Bacterial small subunit ribosomal RNA", at positions 54 to 1142 of the family's 1533-position model. Lineage: Bacteria; Bacillati; Actinomycetota; Actinomycetes; Micrococcales; Intrasporangiaceae. The record is from RNAcentral.